CCACUGGUCACAUUACGGUUCACGGUCUGUUUAGUGCAGGGAUCCCGAAAGUACUGGUUUCUGAAUUUCUGCACAUGUGUCUGGAAGGGAAGGGAAGUGGGCAGCUGGUUCAGGCCUCUCUGUGACAUCACCUUGGGAGGGCAGGUGCAGGUGUUUGUGACCCACCUGAAACCAAGGCGGUGCUGGGGACACCGUGUUGGCACUCAAGGAAUUAAUGGAGGUGACAAGCAAAGUCUCUGACAGGCAGUGUGACUCAUGACAGCCUUAGACAGCACUGGCCUUAUCUCUUUCUCAGUCUUGGAUCUUCCUCCCUUCACCACUGAGAACGUGGACCCUGCCUCCAAUGCCUCAAGACCCCCUACCCUUCACGGACAACUGCAGCCACAAGGCCUACCGCUGGAUGCUCUGGUCAGCAAAGGCAUCUUGUGCCCCAGAAGACUGGGAAGAAGACCAUCCCCCCCAGUACCCUACACUACAAGUGAGUCCAGUCUGGGCACAUCUCUGAGUGUAAGAGAGACAGAGCCAGCAGACAGCUGUGACCAGGAGACCUGUGCUACCCCAGCUGCCCUAGGAUCUGAGGCGUCAGAGAAAUCAGGGAAGUCUUAGCCAAGAAUCCAGAUGGGUAGAGGGAAAAUUGUUUUUCCUCUGCCACAGAAGAGUAAAGCUCGGGG
This 671-nucleotide long non-coding RNA is filed under the name Suricata suricatta (meerkat). RNAcentral's name for it is "lncRNA (ENSSSUG00005013630.1)". The record is from RNAcentral. Lineage: Eukaryota; Metazoa; Chordata; Mammalia; Carnivora; Herpestidae.